AAAUUAAAGAUGCAGUUAGGAUGGCCGAGUUUGUCUUUGAGGAGUUACUGGAAAGGGCCAGGGAGAAAGAAGAAAAAGAAGCUAAAAAGCGUAAACGUCUAGCAGAUGAGUUCUAUGAACUUCUUCAUGCAUCAAAGGAAAUUACUGCAUCAUCGAAAUGGGAGGACUGCAAAUCCCUCUUCGGAGAUAGGCAAG
Molecule: long non-coding RNA, 195 nt
Organism: Capsicum annuum
Lineage: Eukaryota; Viridiplantae; Streptophyta; Magnoliopsida; Solanales; Solanaceae
Exons: 3
Source: RefSeq, a predicted model, not a curated record